This is a long non-coding RNA of Cyprinus carpio (common carp), 1111 nucleotides long. The record is from Ensembl. NCBI's taxonomy places the organism in Eukaryota, Metazoa, Chordata, Actinopteri, Cypriniformes, Cyprinidae.
AUUAAUUUCCUUUCUAUGUGCCUCUUCUAAGAUUACUUUAUACUAUAAAAGACCUUAGCUCUUUAAACAAACUGACAUGUUUAGCAAUGUCACUCCAGUUAAGGCCUUUAGNCACACACACACACACACACACACACACACACACACACACACACACACUCAGACGCAGGUGAAUACAAACCCUUUGCCUGUGUUUUGAUAUUCUUAAGUAAUCACCAUGCCCACAAAUCAGGUGAGCAAAAACGUCAGGCGUGGGCCACCAUAGCAAGGCGAUAACAGAGAUUGAUAACAUGUUUACCAUCGCAGGUCUGGGUCCCUGAUCUACAACGCCAAGACCUGUGGGAUAAAGACACACGAGCGAGGGCCCGAGCUGGCGGGCAGCCGCAGUAAUUGAGAGGAGAUGUAUUUAUAGAGUGGCCUGCUCAGCAUCCAGUGCCGUCUGUAAAUUUGCAGGGAGCUAAAAGGAAAAAUGUCACAACCCAAGGACAGGACCAGGCAGAGGGGUGUCCUGAACAGUGCCAGCAGGUAAUAGGAGUGUCAGUUUUCCCCCACACUGCCUUCGCAGAGGAAGAGAACAUAAGUAAAGUGAAGCUGGGUGAGAGAAGAAAAAAAAAGAUGGAAUAAGUGUUUAUUCAGCUUCUUGGCAGUGCAACAUGAAUCCUUAGUAAGGUGUUACAGCAACGCAUACCUAAAUACUGCAGGCCACAAAAAGUUGCAGUUAUUUAAGGAGGUUGUGUCUUCAGGCUCCAUGGUGUCAAAUAAUUUUGACAGGCAAUGGAAAGGCAAUAUUUCUAGGGCAGGCUAUCCCUUCUGUUUUGCCCAUAGACUUUUCAAUCAAUCAAAGCCAGGCUUUUUUCCCACUGAAGUGUUCAAUAAUUCAUUGGACUCCGGCUUAGGGCCAUAGCUGAUGUUCGGAAGAAGAAUUGCAAUGAAGAGGAGGAGGAGGAGGAGAAGAGUGAAUUGCAUUUUGGGCAAAUCUACAGGCCAAAGACAAUUAAAUGUUACUAACAGAGCCAUGGUUCUCAUCAAGUUCACAGAUUCAGGUUUUAACAGAAACUUUUGAGCUGCCUCAUAAAAGUCAAUUUUAAUUUAUUUGUUCCUAAUUUUAUUC